UGGUGGGUAGUUUGACUGGGGCGGUCUCCUCCCAAAGAGUAACGGAGGAGCACGAAGGUUGGCUAAUCCUGGUCGGACAUCAGGAGGUUAGUGCAAUGGCAUAAGCCAGCUUGACUGCGAGCGUGACGGCGCGAGCAGGUGCGAAAGCAGGUCAUAGUGAUCCGGUGGUUCUGAAUGGAAGGGCCAUCGCUCAACGGAUAAAAGGUACUCCGGGGAUAACAGGCUGAUACCGCCCAAGAGUUCAUAUCGACGGCGGUGUUUGGCACCUCGAUGUCGGCUCAUCACAUCCUGGGGCUGAAGUAGGUCCCAAGGGUAUGGCUGUUCGCCAUUUAAAGUGGUACGCGAGCUGGGUUUAGAACGUCGUGAGACAGUUCGGUCCCUAUCUGCCGUGGGCGCUGGAGAAUUGAGGGGGGCUGCUCCUAGUACGAGAGGACCGGAGUGGACGCAUCACUGGUGUUCGGGUUGUCAUGCCAAUGGCACUGCCCGGUAGCUAAAUGCGGAAGAGAUAAGUGCUGAAAGCAUCUAAGCACGAAACUUGCCCCGAGAUGAGUUCUCCCUGAGACUUUAAGUCUCCUGAAGGAACGUUGAAGACGACGACGUUGAUAGGUCGGGUGUGUAAGCGCAGCGAUGCGUUGAGCUAA
RNAcentral lists this ribosomal RNA (641 nucleotides) under Enterobacter hormaechei. RNAcentral's name for it is "partial 23S ribosomal RNA". It matches the Rfam family "Bacterial large subunit ribosomal RNA", at positions 2259 to 2894 of the family's 2925-position model. RNAcentral also lists the same sequence under 1 other name. Lineage: Bacteria; Pseudomonadati; Pseudomonadota; Gammaproteobacteria; Enterobacterales; Enterobacteriaceae. The record is from RNAcentral.